This 253-nucleotide ribosomal RNA is filed under the name uncultured bacterium. RNAcentral's name for it is "partial 16S ribosomal RNA". It matches the Rfam family "Bacterial small subunit ribosomal RNA", at positions 524 to 776 of the family's 1533-position model. The record is from RNAcentral.
UACGUAGGGUGCAAGCGUUACUCGGAAUUACUGGGCGUAAAGCGUGCGCAGGCGGCUUGUUAAGUCUUGCGUGAAAUCUCGGGGCUCAACCCCGAGCGGUCGUGAGAAACUGGCAGGCUAGAGUGCGGGAGAGGAGAGUGGAAUUCCUGGUGUAGCGGUGAAAUGCGCAGAUAUCAGGAAGAACACCCGUGGCGAAGGCGGCUCUCUGGAACGCAACUGACGCUGAGACGCGAAAGCGUGGGGAGCAAACAGG